GACGAACGCUGGCGGCGUGCUUAACACAUGCAAGUCGAACGGAAAGGCCCUUCGGGGUACUCGAGUGGCGAACGGGUGAGUAACACGGGGGUGAUCUGCCCUGCACUUUGGGAUAAGCCUGGGAAACUGGGGCUAAUACUGAAUUGGACCACGCUCUUCAUUGUGUGUGGUGGAAAGCGUUUGUGGGGUGGUGUGGGCUCGCGGCCUAUGAUCUUGGUGGUGGGGUAAUGGCGUAUCAAGGCGAAGACGGGUAGCCGGCCUGAGAGGGUGACCGGCCACACUGGGACUGAGAUACGGCCCAGACUCCUACGGGAGGCAGCAGUGGGGAAUAUUGCCCAAUGGGCGCAAGCCUGAUGCAGCGACGCCGCGUGAGGGAUGACGGCCUUCGGGUUGUAAACCUCUUUCACCAGGGACGAAGCGUAAGUGACGGUACCUGGAGAAGAAGCACCGGCCAACUACGUG
RNAcentral lists this ribosomal RNA (462 nucleotides) under uncultured bacterium. Its description in RNAcentral is "partial 16S ribosomal RNA". It matches the Rfam family "Bacterial small subunit ribosomal RNA", at positions 28 to 507 of the family's 1533-position model. The record is from RNAcentral.